This 232-nucleotide non-coding RNA is filed under the name Blautia sp. RNAcentral describes it as "T-box sequence". It matches the Rfam family "T-box leader". Rfam says of the family: Uncharged tRNA acts as the effector for transcription antitermination of genes in the T-box leader family. T-boxes are found upstream of many aminoacyl-tRNA synthetase genes and some amino acid biosynthetic genes usually in Gram-positive bacteria. The anticodon of a specific tRNA base pairs to a specifier sequence within the T-box motif, and the NCCA acceptor tail of the tRNA base pairs to a conserved bulge in the T-box antiterminator hairpin. The record is from RNAcentral. Lineage: Bacteria; Bacillati; Bacillota; Clostridia; Lachnospirales; Lachnospiraceae.
AAAAAAGCUGAGAAAGUGUCAGUAGAUAUAUAUUUUCUUACAGAGAGAAGGAGUCACCGGCUGCGAGCUCCUUUAAGUUCAGAUAUAUAUUGAGAUUCCCACUGGAGCUUCUUCUCCGAAAGACAAGUAAGAGAAGACGUACAGACGCGUUAAGUCUUAAUGAGUGUCCGUUAAUAUUUUAAUCGGAAAUCAGGGUGGUACCGCGAGAUGAUAUAAUUGCCUCGUCCCUCCA